CUCGAAUUCCUGACCUCAGGUGAUCCACCCACCUCAGCCUCCCAAAGUGCUGGGAUUACAGGUGUGAGCCACCGUGCCGGCCCCCUCAAUUCAACUUUUUGAUCCAUGCCCCUAUUUUGCUAAGUUGUCAACUUCCCUUUAGUCUUAUGUGGGUUUUCCUCCAUUACAGUCAUGGAAGUUUCUAGAAGGCCGGGUAGGGUCUUUGAGAGGCCGAGGCAGG
RNAcentral lists this long non-coding RNA (220 nucleotides) under Homo sapiens (human). RNAcentral describes it as "HSALNT0262372". Lineage: Eukaryota; Metazoa; Chordata; Mammalia; Primates; Hominidae. The record is from RNAcentral.